UAGAAGGAAAAUCACCUGUGCUAGUUGCACAUGGAAUAGGAUCAAGUCCAAAGAAACCUUUCUUCUAACUAAAAGAAGAGAAGGCAACUCACCAACCCCCAAACUAUAGCAUGCUAUCAUGUUUCUGUAUUUGGUAGCCACGCGAGAAAGCAAUACAAUAAGCAUUAAGCAAUUCCUGAUAAUUUCUGGUACUUUGGUAUGUCAAGGGAUCAAAUUUUGAUCAUAUUCUGUUUUUGUUUUGAAAUUUUGUAGAAAAGAUUGUUACAAGGACAAGAAGACUCUAAUAGUUAACCACAAAAGGCUCAUGCAUUGCUUCCAAAAACCAGAUUUGUUAAAAAAGAUGGAACACGAUUCUGCCGCUAAAGAGUUGUUGAAACACCAAUCCUUCUCGUAACUAGGUGGGUUGGAAUAGUUCCUUUAGAUUUCAACUUACCUUUAAUUAG
Molecule: unclassified non-coding RNA, 443 nt
Filed under: Hevea brasiliensis (rubber tree)
Lineage: Eukaryota; Viridiplantae; Streptophyta; Magnoliopsida; Malpighiales; Euphorbiaceae
Source: RNAcentral